UGUCAGCGUAUACCAAAGUUGUUGCAGUUAAAACGCUCGUAGUCGGAAUUUGGCAGUUCCGGAAGUGUGCACGUCGUGUGCGCACUUUGCGGGGACUGCUUUUGUGGUCUUGCGUAGGAUGAGGCACUUUCAUUAGUGAACGUCCUCACGCAACCACUCUUUACUGUGAGAAAAUCAGAGUGCUCAAAGCAGGCAUUUGCCGUGAAUGUAUUAGCAUGGAAUAAUAGAAUAGGACUCGGUUCUAUUUUGUUGGUUUGUUGGGACUGAGUAAUGAUUAAGAGGGACAGUUGGGGGCAUUUGUAUUCCGGCGCUAGAGGUGAAAUUCUUAGAUUGCCGGAAGACAAACUGCUGCGAAAGCGUCUGCCAAGGAUGUUUUCAUUGA
Molecule: ribosomal RNA, 382 nt
Filed under: uncultured eukaryote
Lineage: Eukaryota
Description: partial 18S ribosomal RNA
Rfam family: Eukaryotic small subunit ribosomal RNA
Source: RNAcentral